GUGCCAGCAGCCGCGGUAAGACGAACCGUCCUAACGUUGUUCGGAAUCACUGGGCUUAAAGGGCGCGUAGGCGGGCAGCCAAGUCUGAGGUGAAAUCUUUCGGCUUAACCGGAAAAUAGCCUUGGAUACUGGCAGUCUCGAGGGAGGUAGGGGCAUGUGGAACUUCCGGUGGAGCGGUGAAAUGCGUUGAUAUCGGAAGGAACGCCGGUGGCGAAAGCGACGUGCUGGACCUCUACUGACGCUGAGGCGCGAAAGCCAGGGGAGCAAACGGGAUUAGAUACCCCAGUAGUCA
This 292-nucleotide ribosomal RNA is filed under the name uncultured bacterium. RNAcentral describes it as "partial 16S ribosomal RNA". It matches the Rfam family "Bacterial small subunit ribosomal RNA", at positions 505 to 796 of the family's 1533-position model. The record is from RNAcentral.